UCAAUUCACUACUAAAUACUACUAACUAACUAUGUCACCUAAUAUGUACCUAAGUAUAUAACUACUUAACUAAAUAUCGUAAUAACUAUAUUACUAUGUAACUAACUAUAUAUCUAACUACGUAAACGAAGAAAAUUAUAUCUAACUAUCUAUUUCUCUAUCUAACAAUUCUAUCUUCUUAUCUAUUUAUCUAUCUAUAAACACAUACACCUAGUUAAAUAGUGUCAUGAGUAUUCUGUAUUCCUUUUAUCGUUGCAAUUCAUACACAAAACCUACCAAACUAAAUUAGUUUUCAUAUCUAACAAUUCUAUCUAACUAUCAAUUUAUCUAUCUAACUAUUUAUCUAACAAUUCUACCUACCUAUCUAAACUGUACCUAACAAUUCUAUCUUCUUAUCUAGGGUUUAUCUAUCUAACUAAUCCAUUCUAUCUAACUAUCAAGUUAUCUAUCUAACUGUUUUAUCUAACAAUUCUACCUACCUAUCUAAAUUC
Molecule: long non-coding RNA, 491 nt
Filed under: Setaria viridis
Lineage: Eukaryota; Viridiplantae; Streptophyta; Magnoliopsida; Poales; Poaceae
Description: long non-coding RNA (SVIR_LNC002674)
Source: RNAcentral